This 82-nucleotide transfer RNA is filed under the name Bacteroidales bacterium. Its description in RNAcentral is "tRNA-Leu". It matches the Rfam family "tRNA". Rfam says of the family: Transfer RNA (tRNA) molecules are approximately 80 nucleotides in length. Their secondary structure includes four short double-helical elements and three loops (D, anti-codon, and T loops). Further hydrogen bonds mediate the characteristic L-shaped molecular structure. tRNAs have two regions of fundamental functional importance: the anti-codon, which is responsible for specific mRNA codon recognition, and the 3' end, to which the tRNAs corresponding amino acid is attached (by aminoacyl-tRNA synthetases). tRNAs cope with the degeneracy of the genetic code in two manners: having more than one tRNA (with a specific anti-codon) for a particular amino acid; and 'wobble' base-pairing, i.e. permitting non-standard base-pairing at the 3rd anti-codon position. Lineage: Bacteria; Pseudomonadati; Bacteroidota; Bacteroidia; Bacteroidales. The record is from RNAcentral. RNAcentral also lists the same sequence under 2 other names.
GCGGAUAUGGCGUAAUUGGUAGCCGCGCUAGACUUAGGAUCUAGUGCCGUAAGGCGUGUGGGUUCGAGUCCCUCUAUCCGCA